CAGUCGCCGCGGUAAUACGUAGGUGGCAAGCGUUGUCCGGAAUUAUUAGGCGUAAAGAGCUCGCAGGCGGUUUCUUAAGUCUGAUGUGAAAGCCCCCGGCUCAACCGGGGAGGGUCAUUGGAAACUGGGAAACUUGAGUGCAGAAGAGGAGAGUGGAAUUCCACGUGUAGCGGUGAAAUGCGUAGAGAUGUGGAGGAACACCAGUGGCGAAGGCGACUCUCUGGUCUGUAACUGACGCUGAGGAGCGAAAGCGUGGGGAGCGAACAGGAUUAGAUACCCCGGUAGUCCCUGUCUCUUAUCC
Molecule: ribosomal RNA, 301 nt
Filed under: uncultured bacterium
Lineage: Bacteria
Description: partial 16S ribosomal RNA
Rfam family: Bacterial small subunit ribosomal RNA
Source: RNAcentral